CCCUUAUCAAGACACUUCCUGGUUGAGUCAGCAAGGAGAAGCAGCCUUCAUCUCAAUUCCCUCAGUGUCUCAGGAAUAUAGUGGGCAGACGAAGAGAACAUGGGCAAGCGUCUCUACAUGUCCUUCAUUGCACCGGCAGAGGCGUUGCUCCAGAGGAACACCCUGAAAUCUACCCUCCAGAAGAGCUGACUCUAAACAAUUGAAACGUGCCUUAGAGUAGGCCAAACGAUAUUUGGGGUUCGUAAGAACCUCCAGGAUAAAAUCCUUGUUAUAAAGGGGGAAAGUUGCUGCUAAUAGUUUGGAUGAGAGCCCCUGCCUUCCAGCACAAACAUUCCCUUCAGACCAGGCAAAGUACAUUUUGAAAAAGAGGUUUGCUGUUCGUACUUUGGAAAGUGCCUUGUUUUUGAACCCAACAAAGUCUCAACGGCAUGUAGGGAUGGGCAUCCUCUGUGUAUAUGAAAGUGAAUUUUGCUAGCUGGCAAUGCAAUCUACGCACUCACUCCUUUGCAUCAGCUACUGACUGCUCCCUCCACUGGUAGAGAACUCCCCAGUCCACCCACCAAACAUGCAGGCAGGUAGAAGUGCCACUGGCGGGAUGCCUGCUAGCAGCCUGUGGAAAGUUCCAGGGUGGAGCCAGGUCUGUUGCAUGAUGGCAUUCAGCCCUGAUUGAUGUACCACCUCCAGCUGGCACAGUGAUCUGCCUGCCCCCUCACCUUCCACUCUAGCCAUCAUGUGCAGCAGUGGUAAAGCCCCACCGGGAUAGGGGUGGGGAGGGUUAGAAUUGCAGCUUACUUGGUGAAUAGCUGCUUGCCCAUGGCUUAGUUGAUUUUCUCAGGAAAAGGAGGACUUAACUUCAUCCUCUGCUGUACAUUUCUGUCGUAUCACAUACCCCUGGAAUUCACAUGGAGCAAAUGAACUUUGGGUCCUACAAGUGAUUUCUCCACAGCUAGAAUAACAUUUAUUUAUUUUAUUUAUCUCACAAUUUAUAAACUGAUCUAAGCAGUGUGCUGAAAUUUAAAUUAUACAAUCAUAUUCUGGUUAUUUUCUCUUCCUCCCCCUCCUCCCCCCUGGGAAUUGGUACUCUGGCAGGGUCAUUUUUCUCUUAGUCAUAUAGCAAAGUCAUUUAUGUGCAACUAAGAUAAUGUUUAAACCUAAAGGGCUCUUGCCUCACAUUCAUGAGAAGGCAUAUGCUUCUAUACUAGCUAACUCUCUGGAAGUCAUGAGAAGGGUGCUGGAAAUGUUAGAUCCAUAAGCUAAACAGGGAACCCCUGGGAUCCAGAAAGAAAGCUGAAAUCCAAGGAACAGGCAUGAGAGGAUUCUUCAGAGAAACAUUAACACCCUGGAGAUGUGAAUGUCUGGUUUAAAGUCUCCUGGAAUUCUCAGAAGACUUGCUCAGUAGUCCCAGAAGCCAUGGAGCCUCCUGGAUUACCUGUGGCCGGAGAGAGUAGUUAGUCCUCUGUGCCUCACCAUUCUACAACAAAACUAGGGCCUCAGCAGGAGCACCACCUGGGAAAUCUUUCAGAGCAGGGGGUGGGGAACCUUUGGCUUCCAGGCCAAUUAAGGCCCUUCAGGGGGUCCCAUUUGGUCCCCAAGACCAUUUUCUACAAACCAUGUCAACCUGCCCACUUGCUGAUGUCACUCGCUGAUGGGCAGGAGGACAGGGUUUGAUCCUGCCUUGGCUGCACAAUCUUGUUCCCAGCAGGGAAAAAUGUUGCACAGUCAAGGGAACAGGAUUUAAUAUUUGCUCAUCAACUGCGUGGUGAUCAGAGCCCUGCAUAAAAACAUCCUUAGAAUCACCUUGUGCAUGUGCACACACACUAUCUACUUCAAAGAGGCUUUUGCAAAGGGUUUAAGACAGCUCCUGUGCUCCCAUUUUCUCAAACAGGAGGGCAGGGGCUGUCAUAAAAAUCUAAGUUUCCUCAGUUGAGAACUUAAAGGUGGAUUGGGGGAGAUCUGCAAAAGUGUUUUCCGAGUCUCCCCAUGUUAUCCUUUUAAUUCUUUCUGAUUGGGGAUUUAAAGGGGGGGAGGGCUUGCAAGGCAAAUCCUGAUUAGGAUCUAGACCAUGGAGCCAAAAAAGGUUAGUCACCCCUGCUCCAGAACAUUCAGGAAUCCAUCAGAUUCCAUCCAUCUUCAGGGGUAGACCAACCUAACUGGUCACCACCCCUGCAGGAGGGGGUGGGUCACAGCUAGUCCAACCUUUACCAGUGAGUGAUCCAUCCAUGACAAUGGGGUGAUAAUGAUCAUCACACCCAUAUGUGAAUUUUUUUGGGGAGGGGGUCACCACUUGCAUUUUGCACAAAACCAGAAAGCUGAUGCACUGCACCCCAGAAGUGAUGUACAAAGACAAUAUCCUUGUAGGAAAAAAUUACAAGUAAACCUGUUUUGGACCAAGGUCCUUUUCUGUACUCCUGAGAUGAGCUGGCACUUCCUGUUUGUAUGUUGUUGCUGUUCUCACAUAAUUGUUUUAUUGCACUGUUUAUGCUGCUUAGGUUUUGUAAAAUAAUAAUAAUAAUUUGUUGUUGCUGCUGUUGAUGUUAUAGAUCUAUUGCCCAAUGCUUCACCAGUAGGUCCCAAGGCAGGUUACAUAAAUUUAAAAUAUAGUAUGAACUUAGGGAAGGAGGUGGUCUUUCAGAUAUUUGGGGCCUAAGUUGUUUAGGGCUUUCCACAGUAACAUGAGCACCUUGAACUGGCCCAGAAACAAAUUGGCAACCAAUGCAACUGUUUUAAAACAGGAGUUA
Rhineura floridana is the source of this 2738-nucleotide long non-coding RNA. RefSeq lists it as uncharacterized. The record is from RefSeq and is a predicted model, not a curated record. The transcript has 3 exons. Lineage: Eukaryota; Metazoa; Chordata; Lepidosauria; Squamata; Rhineuridae.